This is a non-coding RNA of Lyophyllum atratum, 91 nucleotides long. NCBI's taxonomy places the organism in Eukaryota, Fungi, Basidiomycota, Agaricomycetes, Agaricales, Lyophyllaceae. The record is from the annotation of a GenBank genome assembly.
GCAUUAAUGGGGUAGUGGUAACCUGGGUCGUUGCCAUCAUUGCACGCAUCCUUAACUCGACCCGCCGGGGGUUCGAUUCCCUCUUAAUGCA